This is a non-coding RNA of Meleagris gallopavo (turkey), 9914 nucleotides long. The record is from RefSeq and is a predicted model, not a curated record. NCBI's taxonomy places the organism in Eukaryota, Metazoa, Chordata, Aves, Galliformes, Phasianidae.
AGCCGCCCAGCGCCGCCGCCGCCCGCCUAUCUAUUGCGCGCCAGCUCCGCCCCCCGGCCCACCUCUCUUAUCUUCUUCCAUUGGCAAACGGCUCUCCCGCCCGCCCGCCCCUCUGCCUGUACGGCGUUCCGAUUGGCUGACGGCGCCGCCGCUCGAAGGCUCGCCCGCCUCAAAACACGCCCCAACGGCUCUUCCCUUCGUGGAGCGCUUCUAUUGGUUGGUGAGGUUGCAGGAAGUGCGCGGCGAUUGGCUGACCGAGGGGAGGCCGUUGAAACGUGGGCGGGGACACAGCGGAUUCUCUUUGGUGGGGGCACGGCUAGGGACUCCGGCCUGGCCCUGAGGCUGGGAUCGCCUCGCUCCGUGCCGUGCUCUGGGUCGUCGGGAGCUGCUUGUAUAGCUGGGGGCUCGGGUAGAGCCUGCUAAGGGCCUGAACACCGUUAUAUUAAACAGCACGUUCGCCUUCAUUGCUCCCUUGUGUUUCUUUAACCCCUUGGAAAGCGUUUUCGGCCUAUUAAGAAAGAAUAAGCAUAUCUGGUAUCUCUUAGUCACAAGCUGGGGUUUUGGGGAAGGCAGGGAGCGCAGCACGCCGAGGGGCAGAGGAUGGAACUGGGCCCGGGCAGCCUCCUGCUUCAAGGCCUUGCGUAAUGCUGGGAGCUUUAAGCAAUGCCAUAUUUCUGAAAUGAGCAAAGUAGUUGUGUAAAGGUGAAGGACUCGGCGUUUGUACGGCCGAACCAGUCGAGGAGGGGGGGGGGAUGCAGAAGUAACAGUCCCUGUGGUGGUGGUGGAAGGAAGGGCUGAGCGUGAGCAGUGACUGGGGCUGGGGUGCUGUGAUGAGCAGAGCAGGAGCUGCCCCUCAGCAGGGGGAGAGGGGUUUUCUUUGCAAACAUAAAUCUGUUUUGAGUCCACACAGUGAGUCAGCAGCAUAAGUCUCCCCACAGAGAAAAUUCCACUGCAUUAGGACAAUGCAGGCAGUGCUUGGCGCUCGGAAAUAAGGCUCAGCAUAAAUGAAAUAAAUCAGCAAAUCCCUGCUUGUGCUGAAGUUUGGGAUCCAGUGGUCGCAGUUUUCCCCAAAGGCAACAAGCUGGCUCCUAUGCCUCGCUGUCAGCUGAGCUAUGCCCAGCCCAAAUGCAGGAUGCAGAGACAGGCAAGGAAACAGCCCCAAAUGACAGGCAGCAGGUGAGAUACCGAGUGUCUUAAAUUAGAAACAAAUACUCCAAAGGGUAACAAAGAUGUUUAAUUUAGCAUGCUCCAUGUCCUCUCUGGGCAAAAUGCAGUUUUGUUCCAAAUGCCUUCCAAGUCCCUCUUUUGAAACAGGUUAUUACCUCCAGCAUAACUUGCAGGAUUGCAGAACGCUAUGCUCCAAUCACACAAGCUCUGGGAAGUCGAUGCACGCACACAUGCCAGUCAUACAUGCCUUCCUGCUCUCCCCCACCCUCUCCCAAAAAAGCAGGCAUUCCUUCCUUUUACAACUGCUGAAUCACGGCACAGGCAGGCAGCCCUGAAGCCCAUUGCUGCCUGUGCUGCUUUGUCAUCUGGGGAAAAAGAGAAUCAGUUAGAAAAAAAUACAAGCUGCUAAAAGCAUAUCCGGCUCCUUGAUUUUUGAGAUGUUUAAGUUUGGUUAAAAUAAUACAAAAUCCACAUAAGACAGAUAGAUGGUCCAGAAAAAAAGAGGAUAAGAGGAAAAAAGAGGAAUGAAGGGAACAGACGGACCAUGCACAGAGGUUUAAGUGCUCUGGCAGCUAAGCAGGUGGUAUUUUUAGGCCAGGCUAUGAUGUGCCAGGGCAGGGCAGUGGAAGAAAGAGGGAUGGCAGAUACCACACUGCAUUGUUGAAAUUUUCAUUGGUUUUCAAUGGUUUUCAUUUAUAUUUGUUCAGGCAUCGAAGCAGAUCUGCCAAUUUCCACCAAUGAGUGCUUGCAGAGCAUGCUGUGUUGUUCUCUGAUUUUAGAGGUAAAUUCUGAAAGGCAGAAAGUGGGCAGUAUGGUGAAGCUGGAAAAGCCUGAGGUCACUCAUCCAGAACAGAUAGAACUCAGAGGAAAGAGGAGAAUCCUCUGUUUAUGGGCAGACCACGGCAACUUUUCUGCCCUGCUGCCAGACAGAGAAACCUGCUGCACUUUCAGCUUUUACUUUCUGAUCUUAAUUCUCUGUAACCUUGAUCUCUGAAGAAUUCCUGCUUCCUUAAUUCCCUCUUUGCAUUUCAAGAAUUAGCUGGAGCUCUGCUCAGAUCUCUUUCUCCCCUGGAAAGCUGGUAUGAAGUAAGUGGAAAAUCAGGCAGGUUGGGGCUGCAGGACAUCAGUGGGACUGCAGAUAACAAGCAGUACAGACAGAUGAGCAGCAGGAGAACACUGACUUUUGCUCUUUCAAACUUUGCACUGCAGGAGGGAAGACAAGCUCACAUCUCUAUGGGGCAAUGUCCACGUGCCCUGGUAUGCUUUGAUGGAAACCAUUUUUUUUACAGUGACAUCUCUGGAAACCACUCUUGAGAAAGGGGCAGGGAGAGAUACAUUGACUUUGUCAAAACAGAGGGGCCUAAGUGUCUGAAGCUAAAAAUAAAGAGCUGCCAUUUUCCAAGGUAAUAAAUGUGAAUGUAAGAAAUGUUAUAAAUUAAUUGUAACAAGGGGAGGAGAAAUAGUGAAAGGAAGAUGCACCAGAGAGCCAGAAGCAGAGCUCUAGCAGAUGGGUGGGAGGAGAUGGGAAAGCAUAGAAUGAAGUGGAAGAAGAUAAACAAUUCCUGUGGUAGUGUAAGUGCAGGAGCUAGCCUGUGCAAUGGGAACUUUAUAGAAAACUCCUGGGACCCACAGGUCAGAAUUAUGCAAGACAAGACAACAGGUGCAAGUUUGGUCUGUACAUAGGUAGCAACCAUGGUUCUGAUGGAACUGAUGGUUCCUUUGGGUUGUGCACAGGUUUGGUAGCUCCCGUAGGCGCUGCACCAGUCUGCUGAGCACAGUUUGGUCCUGGGUGUGCCCUUUUCCACCCCUUCUUUCAGAGAGCAGAUGUAAUUUGCUGCAAGGUGGCCUUCAGAUGCCCCCAGGUCUGUGCUCUCCCUGAAAGUGUCACACUGGAGGCCUUUUUCUGUGAGCUUGGCUGGGCACGGGCAGCAGAGUUGGACCUCCUGGGGUUUGGCUGUAGGGUGGGCUGUCAGCUCAGGGCUGAUGUUUGUUUUAUGUAGGAGUAGUUGUUUUGCCAACAAAGCUGUUUGCUUAUUGGAGAACAAAAAUAUUUACCAUUCUCUACCUCAAACACCUUCAGUUUUGACAGUGAUUGAACCCAGUUAAAGGAAACCAAAAUUCCAUCACAGGGAAUAAGAAAACAGUUGAAUGGCAUUUAUUAGUUGGGGAAGUGAGAGGGUAGGAAGCCCUCUUCUCCCACUCAGCCAGGCCUCAUGGCCAGGACAGCACUCAGGACAGCCCUCAGCCUCCAGCUCUGCACGAGGGCCAGCCCUGCCCCGUGCAUCCCCAUGCAGCCCCUUCAGACCCAGGCAGAACCAAUGCUCCAACAGCCACAUUCCUGGCAUGCCAUGCAGGCAGCACAAGGCCACCUCGCGCUGCUGGCCUGCCCUAAUCCUGCCUCGCCGAGGUCAACAAACAGGGAAUUAGCAGCACUUAACUCAGUGACCUCCACAGGGCCACAGCUCUCCUGAUCACAGCACAGCUGGAGCUGCAGGAGGAGAACAUCUCUGUCGUUUCUGCGGGCCUCUGUCCAUGUCUGACCAAAAAAAACAUCACCACCCUUUUAGAGCAGACUGAAACGCAGGUGUGGCUCUCACUGGCAUCUGAGCUUCAUGUUUAUACAAUCAACUUCCUUGUUGUUUUCACUUAAAUCCCACAUGAGGUUUCACGCUGAGCCCAUUUCUCUCUGCACUACCGCACGCUUCUUCCUCCUGCUCUGGAUGGAGCGGGCACCUGCCCAGCCAAAAACAAACCUGCAAAGCCCAGGGGGUUUGAUUUCAGUGGAAUUGGUGUGAUUGUCCUUUACGGGAACACACAGAUGGAGGUAAACUUGGAACAACUUGUGAAAUGGAAUCUCUAAUGCUUGAUUUAAUUGCUGAUGAAGGCAGGUUUGUGCCGAAGUACUUCUCUAUGAAUCACAGUGGCUGAGGUGGGACAUGCAUUUUGUUCAGCUGUGGUUGCUGUGGAGCCACACCUUCUGGUGCACAGCCUGGGUGGACAGUUGAGCUUGGAACCCUUGAAACCAACAUCAGGAGCUGUAAGUCAGCAGUGUGCAGGAGGGACUUCCUGCUGAGAAAUAAAGGAAAACCCUCCAUAGGAGCAGCUGGUCCUCCUUCGAUCCGAAGCAGAGCACGUGCCUGGAGGGAUGGUGACAGCAGAACAGCGAGGCACAGAGACUUUGCACCUCCCCAAAAUAACAGUGUGCUCCAUCGCAUUUUCCCAGCUCCUGGUGCAGACAGGACGGCACUCCAAAGACCCAUGACCGCGCUGGUGCAGCUCGAGCACUGGGACCUGUCCCAGCCUCCUCUCGAUGGUGUCAGCUCCCUCUCCCAUGCCGCUAUUACUCAGAAAAGAGAUAAGACUACCUUUUUUUUUUUUUAACCGACGAAAAUGACAGCGGGGCUCUCUGGCGCUGCCGCCCGCCUUGCUGUCCCGAGGGCGGAUCCAGGCGCGGGGCUGCCGACAUCCGCAGCGCCGCAGCGCCGCCUGGCGGCAGGAAUGCAGCCAACGCUCCAUCUGCGACCCGAGCGGCUCCCGGCCCUCCGGCAGAACGGACGCCUCGCACCUCCGGGGAGCAUCGCUGGAAUUCCCGGAGUUUUCCUUACGAAAAGGCUUCACUCUGGGCAAGGAAACAGCAGAGCCCUUCCUCCAGGUUUACUGCAGAGGUUGGAUCUUGCUGCCACCGCUGCUGAUAUGAAUGGGCAUGCAAGGAAUUGGCGUUUCCAAAAUGAAAGAGGGUUUUUUAGAGCAGAGCAUGUGAGCAAAAAUGGAUGCGAGAGCAUGGAGACGGCCCAAGUUCUUCUGGUUUGAGGGUGCAGAGCUGAAUGUGCCCUGCUCUUGCAGGUGGCACUGCCUUGCCUUCAGCAGGGGGAAAUUGUUAAAAAUCCUACAUGCGGCACGGCUGUUCUAAUAGCAUCUCAGGCAAUGGGGUGAGUCACAGGCUUAAGAGCAGCACUGCAGCAGAGUCACUGAAACAAACAGUGCGGUAUUCUCUGUGGGUUUGGAGGACACAGAAGCUUUCUCGUGUAGAAAAAACCCGUGCAGGUGUGGAGGCAGAGAACUCAGAGCUGGCUGUUCUCAGAGCAAACAGAGCUCGGGGAAGGAGAGGCCUCGUUGGGUGUGUUGGUGAUAGGGAAAUGGUGGGCUGGGGUCAGGAGGUUCUGCUUGGCACGGGAGGGAGGGGAAUGGGUAAGGUUAUACGAGUGAAACUUGACUACCUUUGCUCUCUUUCUUAGGUCAGAUAGCUUGGAGAGAUCUUAUCACCCGAGAGCUGAAUUAAUCAUGGGCUGAGUGGUAUAACUGAAAGGAAUAGAUCCAGUUGUGAGGGCAUGCUGCUACUCAGCUCGGUAGAAACUAAAGAAAGAGGAGGAAUGAAACGUGAUGUCUGAUUAAGGCUGUAUUAAAAAUGUCAUCUAUGCCUCAGGGGACGGUGCUGUUCUCAGACAGAUUCAAAAAUACAGAGGUUUGGUUUCCCAACGGGGAGUAAGGUGAGGGCUCCCCAUGCUGGGAGGGGUGGGCUGGCGCUGACCUGCCUGCCUUGCUGCCUUCUUAGAAACUGCACUGUAACAAUCCAUGCAUGUCAACUAUUUUGUUUUUGCAUUUUCAACUUAUUCCUGACAUUUAUUCUAAGUAUAUGCUCUCCUGCUUGGCAAGUAUCUGUGCACAGAGCUUGAAUCAGUCACUGCCAUCCAUAGCUGCCUUUGUUGUCUUGGGGCACUCACAUAGAAAAUCCAACAGAUCCUCCUUUAAGAAUGAAGAUGCAGAUGCAGUGCAAGCUCAGCAAAAUCCCUGUGAUAAAUGGAGCCUCUUCCUAAUGGCUUACUUAUUUUAUUACUGAACCAGUGCCUGCUUUACAGAUCUUCACAGAGUUUUAAAUAUGUAUAUAAUGUACAUAUAUCUGAAUAAUCUAUACACAUACAGUGAAAAUCAAUAUGUAAUAAAAAUCUAGUAUACCUGCAUACGUAUGGUUAAGAAUCUCUGUAUUUAGGGUUAAGAAUCACUGGUAGAUGAAAUGGUGAUCAUGAGAGCACUUUAGGAGGAGUUUGAAUUCAUUUUCACUGGAGAAAAAGGAGCAUUCUGCAGAUAACAGCUGACAGCAUUAGCCUAUUGUAAACACUGAACCUGUUAAAAAUGAGGGGAGAUUUUUCUGUUUGUUUUGGUAAUAGCCUAUGCACAGACCCUGAUAAGUCCUGCACUACAGACAGCACUGUGCGUUCUUGAGCACUUCCUUCUUCAGCAGAAGUUCACUAUUACAGACUGGUGGUUUCCUAACAAGACUUCCAAACGGCACCUGAAUUAAAGAUAACUCUGUAAGGAUGCCUGGUUGACACCCACAGUGUUAUUCAUCUCUCAGAAUCCCCUCUCAGAGGGGCUGUGACCAUCCAGAAGCUCUCCAGUCACUCUCAGUGCAGCCCUGCUCUGGGAAGCCUGGUAGCCAUCCCAGCAAACAAAUACAAGUUUGGGGAUGCCAAGAGCACUGAGGUCCUGUUUGGCUGCCUCUGCCCAGGCAACAUCCUUUUGGGAUUGUAUCAGCAAAUGAUGAGCAGGCGUAUGGAUUGAUGUUAAUUCUUUUUCAGUGGUACGUGGCUUAGUGAAAGGUCUUUAAAAUGGAGUGUGAGAAACUCCACUGCUCUUCUUGAGCAAUUGUAGGAAUGUGGGAUUGAUCUCCCUUAAAUCCCUUUUUUGUAUAAUCUACUUUUCUUUUUAUUUUCUAGUGCUGUUCUUCCUGCUGCCAAGAACUCAAUUGUCACACAGAUACUGGAGAUCUAUUGCCUAUUCAGAAAGCAAGGCAAAUUAUUCUUUGGUAUUUGCGGAACUAUAGCAACAGCCAAAAAUGUAAGAGGUGUAUUUGGGAUGAGAAGACCAAGAGAGUGAACAAAGCAAACAAGCUGUUACAAGUAAUCUCUGAAACUGCGUGGGACAUAGCAACGUCUGGGAUGUCUGCUGGCACUGAAGAAAAGGACUGGAUUGUGAUGGGAGACUGUGGUGAGCAGCACCAGAGCUUCCCAGUACAGAGAGCUGAGCUCCUUUGUGCUGUGUCUGGUUCUGCUUUGCCAUGCUGGACCCAGAUGAAAGCUGCUUCCAUCACAGGGGAGAUGAAUACCAUCUUACAGGCGUAGUGAGGACGCACAGGGUGUAAUUUUGUCAUUGGGAGUUUUGUUCAUGGAUGUGGCCACCACCAGAACAAAGCACAAAGCUCCUGGGCAGCAUCCCAGUUCUGAGCUGUGUGCAGCAGGCAGGUGGCUGCUGAGAAGUGAGAUUCUUAGGUGUGGUGCAGUGGCAUCCAUGUGCUGGUACUGCCCAUCCUGCUUGUUGACACUGUGUGCACAAAUCACAGGUGUGACAUCUAUUUGUUUCCUAAACAAUGUGUUGAAAUCAUGAUGUCUCGGGAGGGAUUUGUAUAGCAAAGAGAGCAAGUUUAAGUUAAACAUUUUUUCCUAGAGUGGCACCGUGAUGUUCAUUCGCAGAGGGGAAGUGACAGUGGUGGUUCUCGCAAUCAGAUCUGCCCACCAAACCCACCGUGAGCAGCAGCCUUUGGCAGAAAGCAGAGCUGCAGAGCCCUGCAGUACACCACCAUUGCCACCCAGCCUGCAUGUGGCUGGAGGUGAGGGUGUGCAGGAAGAUUUGGUAUUUUGCACUGUUUCUGGCUGUUCUAUUCUGUUACACACCCUAAAAACAAACCCAGCUGUUCUUAAAGCAGUUCCUGUCUCAGAGUGUGACUGGUCAUUGAAGGGAAGCUCCUCACCUUUUGCAAAAGCUCUUGGUGCCCGAAGGCUCAUUAUUUGCUUCUCAAAUACCUCUGGGAAGAGCACAGUUUCCUAACUCACAGCCCAGGCUUUCACCCCUCUGUCCUGAAAUGCAGCCGCUGUGAGGCAGCACCCUGAGCUGGAGGGCAUGAUGUGGUGUGUGGGACCAGCAGGCGCAGGAAGGAAGAGCAGUGCUGGAGCUGGUCCUUGCAGCCCUGCCUCGCAAGGCCGGAGUGGGACAGAAAGGCUCAGAAGCCUGCACUGCCAAUAUUAUGGUGGGAUGCGGACUGCCGUGGAGACAGCCUGGUGCUGGCACUGAGGGCCUGCCUUGUGCACGUGGUGUGCACUGCUGCCCUCUGCACUCAGGUCAGCUUGGCUUCAGCCAGGCUUGACUGAGCAAAGGCAUCUGAACAAAGGAGUCACAGCUGCUAACCAGAAACUAAUUCCCUCUCGGCUCACACCUCGCCCUUGUGAUGUCUGACUGCUCCCCAGACGCCUGCUAGCAGGUGCAGGAGGUGCCACGCUGUCACCUUCAGUGCCUUUCCUGCAGGAAGCAGCUGCCCAUCCUGCUUGUGCCACAUUCCACGUCCCAGAUCUCCCACAGCCACCUCCGCUGCCCUCAGGCCCCAUCCGUCCUCUCAGCCCCUCACUGACCCCCCCUGACCCACACGUACCGGGCAGCGAGUGCUGUGCUCCCUCGCCCUGUAAUUCAGAACAGACAAGCCGCCCUGCUUACAGCCUUUGAAGCUUUUCCAUGUGGCCUGAAGGGAGCCCUGCCACUUUUUUUCCACAUCACUAUAGGAUAAUAAUAAGUGUGUGUCCCACCACUGGAGGAAAUCCUUCCCAUCCCUGCUUUCUGCAAUAUUGCUCCCAAGAUUGGAUCUCUCGUUUGCUUUGCCAGAAGCGCAGCCGCCCUUCUGCUGUUGUUCUUCUUUGUUCCAGUGCUUUUUCUGACAUUCUGCUGAAAAAGGAAUACUGGCAAAGGAACUGCUCUAUGUGACAAUACUACGAUGCAGGGCUGGAUAAAAAGGGGCUGAACUUUCCUGUUUAUGUAUUUUUAACAGAUUUUGGCCAUUUGUGCAUCUCAGUAGCUUUUGAUGCUGAGUAAGCUGCAAAACCCAAGAAUUCUGAGGACAUCUCAAGAGAUGCUGAUUGCAGAUAGAGGCUGCUGGUUAUUUGCACCCCUCCCAGUCCAAGGGGUACCCAGCUGGCUGCACCAAGGCCUGGAGGCUCAUCUUUUGAACACAAAAACCUCUUUUUUUUCUUUAUGGAGCUCUUGGCCUGUCGCCGUUUUAUGGAAUGCAUUUCCAGGGCAAUCUUGCUGUGUGUGACGUCGUUGGGCUCUGCUGGCUUCUCCUCGCCCCACUGCUGCCAGGGAAAAACAGGGCAAGCCUGUGCUGCCCGCACCACCAUCAACCAACGCAUCAGCAAGGACUGGACCUGGCUAGAGGAGAUCCUGCUUGGGAAAUCAGGUUUUAUAGUGUCGCUAUGUUGGAGCAGAUCCAUCUGCUGGCUGCCGUGACGGUUCUUGGGGUCCUGGAGCAAGGUAGGGCAUCAUAUAUCCAUGCCUAGAUAUCGCCUGUGUUGGUCUACCAUACCUCUAUUAUUUCCUUUCACUUCCAUGCUGUGUUUCUGCUGCCAUGCUGCCACUUUACUGCUUUCAGUGAGUGAUAUCUUUUGUGGUUUUCGAACAUUAAAACAAAAAAAAAAGAGUGCCUGGCACGCCAGCCUCCUAAAAGCCCUUCCCCAGAACUAACACACCUCCUUUGUCUUGAUAUCUCUUGGUCGAUCUUCUCUGUAAACACGUAGAAUUUCCUUAUUUGAAACACAGAUUUGCAGUAGCUCUUGAAGUUGGUGUAGAUCAUAGCAUAAUACAGGAUGAGGUGGGUUGCACGGAAUCUCAAACUCAGCCAGGGCUCCACACUGCAUGACUAUAGACCUCAGCAUCUGGAUGGCUUAUCUGUGGCAUCGGUUCCCUCUGCUUGGCUAUCAGAAUUUAGA